GAAAAAGAGGAGCAACAAUAGGGAUUUUGUGUUUUAGUGGUAGCAAACAUAUGUAAAUGUAAUUUUUCUGUAUAUGAUAAAAGAACUACCUAGCACAGUUAUUUCUCUUGAAGGCAACAGUGUUUGUGCAUGCUGUUUAUGGAAAACAUACUCUGACCUGCUGACAGCUGAUUUGGUCCAGUGGAGCAUAUGCUAGAGGGUACAGCACCAGUCAGACGCAAAAUGAACUUCAGAGAACAGUGCUACAGAAGUGUAAGCUCAAAUAUGUACUGCUUUCAGAUGGAGCAGGAGGAAGGCAAACAGAUCUGCAUCCCAAAUGACUCUACUCCCCAUGGUAUAGAUUAAGAUGGAGUGACUUGAUUAUUCCCUGUGCCUAUUACUGGCUUUUUUCUUCACUAUGAGAGCAACUGUUCAAAAAGUAUUCUAGUGCAAGCUAGAGGAAGGAUUGGAAUAACUAUCAGAAUUGCAGUCAGUCUUUUUUUUUAGUGGGUAUAAAAAUGUGUGGAAUGAGGUGACCACUUGGUGGCAAAGCUGAAUGGCAAAUAAAAUGCGGUUCUGCUUUUUCAGUAAUGCUUUUAUUUGACUGGCAUCUAUGGGAGAUUUGAGGUAAACUGUCAGCUUUAUAAAGACAUGCUGACUUCUGCCUGCAAGGCUGUAUUUCAGUAAUUGCACUAACUUCCAACAAUCAUUAUGCUACUUGUGGUGAUUCAACCUUGUUUGGUCUGUUGAAGACAAGAGGUAGUGAAUCAAACAGCUUUGCUUUCAUUAUGAAGUUAUAUUUGGUAAGUUGGGGCAAUGUGAGUGAAUGUAUCUUCUAGAGUCUCUUCAGCUGAUUUAGAGACAACACUACCUGAAAGCUUCAAUAGCAAGCUAAAGGACUUGCAUAUAUAGUUCAGUAAUAUGUCUCUCACUAAUACAGGUUUUGUGUUGUCCUCAUGUCAAAUGCACUUUAUAUUGUGAUGAGACAAGGCAAAAUAUAUUUAAGAAAACCAAACAAACAUCAACAACACCUUGAGAGCAAUAAAAAACUAAAGUAAAUGUGCUAGCUAACUUCUCUUUCUAGGUGUUGUUACCCAAAAAAAAGGGGAAUUCAAAUUAUUUUUAACGUUUUAUAGAGAGAUAUGACAUCAUUUAUUAAAUCACCUCGAUAUAUUUUGCAGGGCAGGCAGCAAGCAGAUGCAUCUGCAUGAGCCUUUUCCUCAGGUGGUGCCUGGCUGUCACUGGAAAUUUUUCAGCAUGGUAACCACUAGGUAUGCUGUCAGGAAGCUGAUGUCAUUUCCUCUCAUCAUGGCAUCAGAAAAAAAUUAUAGGUUGCUUUGAAAAUAAUGCCUCUUAUUUAUUUCUGUGAAUCUACAACAGCUACAAAGGGCACAAUAAUACUAUUUGAUAGAGCAAAUUCUCAGCUACCAAACACUGUUUUUCAGCCUAGUCACAACCAACCAUUAGCUAUGUAUUUUCACCAGCCAUGAACAAGAACAGCAGGCCACUCUCAUAAAAAUCUGCAACAGUGGAGGUGACCUACUGUCAUUGCUGCUGAAAUGCAUCAGCUCACUGUGCUCACAUCCACUACUUGGUCUCCAUCAAUGUUCAGUAAGCAUCAAUAAAUGUCAG
Gallus gallus (chicken) is the source of this 1611-nucleotide long non-coding RNA. NCBI's taxonomy places the organism in Eukaryota, Metazoa, Chordata, Aves, Galliformes, Phasianidae. The record is from Ensembl.